AGGAGAGUUUGAUCCUGGCUCAGGAUGAACGCUAGCGGCAGGCUUAACACAUGCAAGUCGAGGGGCAGCGCGGAGUAGCAAUACUUUGGCGGCGACCGGCGCACGGGUGCGUAACGCGUAUGCAACCUGCCCGUAACAGGGGUAUAACGGAGGGAAACUUCCACUAAUCCCCCAUAUUGUCAGAGAUUCGCAUGUUUCUCUGACGAAAGGUUAUUCUGGUUACGGAUGGGCAUGCGUGACAUUAGGUAGUUGGCGGGGCAACGGCCCACCAAGCCGACGAUGUCUAGGGGAGCUGAGAGGCUUAUCCCCCACACUGGUACUGAGACACGGACCAGACUCCUACGGGAGGCAGCAGUGAGGAAUAUUGGUCAAUGGGAGGAAUCCUGAACCAGCCAUGCCGCGUGGAGGAAGAAGGUCCUAUGGGUUGUAAACUCCUUUUGUUCCGGAGUAAUAAGUCCCUUGCGAGGGACGAUGAGAGUACGGGACGAAUAAGCAUCGGCUAACUCCGUGCCAGCAGCCGCGGUAAUACGGAGGAUGCAAGCGUUAUCCGGAUUUAUUGGGUUUAAAGGGUGCGCAGGCGGCGCGUUAAGUCAGCGGUGAAAUCUCCCGGCUCAACCGGGGAACUGCCGUUGAUACUGGCGUGCUCGAGUACGGACGGCGCCGGCGGAAUGUGUCAUGUAGCGGUGAAAUGCUUAGAUAUGCCACAGAACACCGAUCGCGAAGGCAGCUGGCGAGGCCGGUACUGACGCUCAGGCACGAAAGCGUGGGGAUCAAACAGGAUUAGAUACCCUGGUAGUCCCCU
RNAcentral lists this ribosomal RNA (802 nucleotides) under uncultured Bacteroidota bacterium. Its description in RNAcentral is "bacterial SSU rRNA". It matches the Rfam family "Bacterial small subunit ribosomal RNA", at positions 1 to 799 of the family's 1533-position model. Lineage: Bacteria; Pseudomonadati; Bacteroidota. The record is from RNAcentral.